GAUGAACGCUGGCGGCGUGCUUAAUACAUGCAAGUCGAGCGAACAGACGCGGAGCUUGCUCCGCGGACGUUAGCGGCGGACGGGUGAGUAACACGUGGAUAACCUACCUAUAAUACUGGUAUAACCUCGGGAAACCGGAGCUAAUACCGUAUAAUAUCUUGAACCGCAUUGUUCAAUAGUGAAAGUCGGUUGUUCUGUCUCUUCUAGAUGUAUCCGGGCUGCAUUAGCUAGUUGGUAAGGUAACGGCUUACCAAGGCAACGAUGCGUAGCCGACCUCAGAGAGGGAUCGGCCACAAUAGAACUGAGACAGGGUCCAGGCUACUAGGGGAGGCAGCAGAAGGGUAUCUACGGCAAUGGGCGGGAGCCUGGCGGAGCGGCGCGACGUGAGUGGCAGCAUCGUUCGGAUCGUGAUACUCGGUUAUUAGUGAUAAACCACUGUGUAAUUAGAUCUGCACGGCUUGACGGUAACUAAUCAGAAAGCCACGGCUAACUACGUG
This 497-nucleotide ribosomal RNA is filed under the name uncultured bacterium. RNAcentral describes it as "partial 16S ribosomal RNA". It matches the Rfam family "Bacterial small subunit ribosomal RNA", at positions 28 to 507 of the family's 1533-position model. The record is from RNAcentral.